Molecule: non-coding RNA, 1139 nt
Organism: Lolium perenne
Lineage: Eukaryota; Viridiplantae; Streptophyta; Magnoliopsida; Poales; Poaceae
Source: RefSeq, a predicted model, not a curated record
CUCUCUACUCUGGGCAAUACCAGUCUGCGUAUCGUUUGGGCUCAUUGAUGUACGCAUUCUCCACGGGGAAAACCCCAGGGCCACCCGUCUCUCUACUCUGGGCAAGGCAGAGGCAGAGGGCGUGGAAAAUUCAAGGAGGUACGGGAUGGGAGGCGGCAAGAAGCGGAGCAUGGGCCGCGGCUAGAGAAGUCCGAGCGCCGCUGCCAUUUCCAAGAGUGACCAUGCCGAGAUGGCCCACAAGCAUCUGGCAAGGGAUGCAUCGGCAUCGUGGCAAAGGCAACCAUCCUGCGAUAGUUUGUUUGUUCACCAUGAUUCGGUUAUGGUUGAUGCAAGCCUAGGCUCCUCCAAAGUUCACUUUCUUGGUACAGCUUCAAUGAUGCUACAACUUUCAUUCUUGAGGUUAUUUUGUCUUUACAAUCUGUUUCUUAUACACAAUCUGUGGUAGGAAAGAACACAGCUUGAGACUUCCCAGUUAUACAAGUCUACAAUGGGCUCGAAGAAGGGUGAUAAUGUGUUUCGACAAAACUGACUACUACUCUCAGGUCCCCUUUUAUCUUUCUGUCCAUGCUCUGUUAAGUGAUCACCAACAUUAAUAUCAUCUAGAAGGACCUAAAAGUCAAAAGAUAAUUUUGAACAAAAUACAGGGCAGGUGAAUGCAAGAGGUUCCUAAUAAGAUCAUGAAACAACAAAGGUGCCACCGAUUUGCCGGCUACCAGCCCAUCUCUCCUAUUUUCUGCACUCUCUCAUUCUUUUCCUCCCUAACCGCAGGAGGACCAACAACAACGACGAAGGACGGGAGCCACCAUGGAUUUUCUAUUCAAGACCUCCUGCUGGCUCAUGCUCUGCUUCGAGGUAUUCUCAUGGCUGGCAUGAGGUACAAGCAGAUGCACUCGUGGUUGUCAGACAGGUCCUGGCAGCGGAUUGGGAACAAACCAUCGACGACAGCUACUUUGCUGACUCUGCACAUCCUCGGAAUUUCGUGUGGAAGAAGCAUGGGUAUUUCAAGCUGGAUGUCUGCUAUAUCUUGAUCUGGUAUUUCAAACAUGGGUAUUUCAAACUAGAUCUAAGUUUCUAGAGGCUUAAAAAUAUUGUGACAUAAGAGGUAUGCAUUCUCUGUGGUUUUGCAUAUGGAAGUUGUG